Molecule: ribosomal RNA, 253 nt
Filed under: uncultured bacterium
Lineage: Bacteria
Description: partial 16S ribosomal RNA
Rfam family: Bacterial small subunit ribosomal RNA
Source: RNAcentral
UACGUAGGGGGCAAGCGUUGUCCGGAAUUAUUGGGCGUAAAGAGCGCGUAGGCGGUCCGAUAAGUCGGCUGUGAAAGUCGGGGGCUCAACCCUCGAAUGCCGGUGGAUACUGUCGGGCUCGAGUACGGAAGAGGCGAGUGGAAUUCCUGGUGUAGCGGUGAAAUGCGCAGAUAUCAGGAGGAACACCGAUUGCGAAGGCAGCUCGCUGGGACGUAACUGACGCUGAGACGCGAAAGCGUGGGGAGCAAACAGG